AGUGAACGCUGGCGGUAGGCCUAACACAUGCAAGUCGAACGGCAGCACAGUAAGAGCUUGCUCUUACGGGUGGCGAGUGGCGGACGGGUGAGGAAUACAUCGGAAUCUACUUUUUCGUGGGGGAUAACGUAGGGAAACUUACGCUAAUACCGCAUACGACCUACGGGUGAAAGCAGGGGAUCUUCUGACCUUGCGCGAUUGAAUGAGCCGAUGUCGGAUUAGCUAGUUGGCGGGGUAAAGGCCCACCAAGGCGACGAUCCGUAGCUGGUCUGAGAGGAUGAUAAGCCACACUGGAGCUGAGACACGGUCCAGACUCCUACGGGAGGCAGCAGUGGGGAAUGUUGGACAAUGGGCGCAAGCCUGAUCCAGCCGUACCGCGUGGGUGAAGAAGGCCUUCGGGUUGUAAAGACCUUUUGUUGGGAAAGAAAAGCAGCAGGUUAAUACCCAGCUGUUCUGACGGUACCCAAAGAAUAAGCACCGGCUAACUUCGUG
This 492-nucleotide ribosomal RNA is filed under the name uncultured bacterium. Its description in RNAcentral is "partial 16S ribosomal RNA". It matches the Rfam family "Bacterial small subunit ribosomal RNA", at positions 29 to 507 of the family's 1533-position model. The record is from RNAcentral.